UAGAUGGGAUUGGAGAGAGAGGCCAGGAGGAGGGCAAGAUUUGAAGUAACAAAUAGAGCUUUAAGUAGUGAUGGCUCAUGCUUGGCUUUUGCAGCUGCGCUUCCAGAGGAAUUUUCCAAGAGCCCUAUCCUGAUGAGAAAGUGGCAGAAGUGGACAUGAGCAGACUGGACAUCCUUAUAAGCAGAUAUAAACAGUUCUCCGCUUUCUGACUCCCACAUAAUUGGCUCUGAGACCGAGGGAAAAGAAAUCAAACGUCAGCGUCACGCCUCAGAGACUCAAGCCCUCAUGUGAUGGAAAGCAAGCCGGAGCGACGAGACCAUGAGCAUUGUUGAUGUCACGCAAAAGCCGUCCAACUGGGAGGGGAACGGCCGCCACUCUCAGUGAGAUAAGUGUCUGGUUUGGUGAUUGUUGUGCUCAUGGCCCACCUUUCUCCUGCUAGGGACGCCACGUUAGCUGGGGCUGGGUUUGAAGAAAAUGUUCUUGACUAGCUGUGGUUAUGAGGGGGACAAGGUCCCCAUUUUCAGGGUCUGCUCAUUUCUCUGGCCAGGAGCGGUGUCUCCUACGCAACGGAAGGUUGCAUCUAGAAGGAUGACGCCAGGUAGUGAGUUGCUUGCUUUCCUCCCAUGUCUUUCUAUCUGUCUGUCUCUCUCUCUUCUCUAGUGUGUUGGCCAACUUUCUCGCUGACUCUCCUCUCCUCUCCUCUCCUUGUGCCGUCUCCCUUCGUAGGAAACGCGCAGGCAUGCUAGGUGUGCAUCCUAGCCAGGUCUCGGGAGCCAUGGAGAAGUAGGAGCGGACGAAAACCAUGAGGGGCAGUGGGCACUAAAGUGGAGCUGUGACUGUCUGUGUUUACUUAGUUUCUGUUCAUCGAGUGGGGCUGAUGUAGAUGGGACUGGAGAGGGAGGCAGGGAUGAGGGCAAGACUCGACGCCCCAAUAGAGCUCUGUGUAGUGAUAGUUCUUGCUUGGCUUUAUUAGUUUGCGGAGGAAUCGUCCAGGAGCCCUAGCCGGACAAGAAUAUGGCAGAAGUGGACCUGAGCAGUCUGGACAUCCUUCUAAGGAGAUAUGAAUAGUCCUCAUGUUUCUGCCUUCUGCAUCGCUGGCUGUGAGUAAGAGGUUUAGAGCCAAGGAAAACGAAGUCACGCGUCAGAGUCUACUGCCCUCAUGCGAUGGAAAGCGAGCGAGAGCGUUGAGACUCUGAGCAUUGUUGAUGCCACUCAAAAGCCGUCCAUCUGGG
This is a long non-coding RNA of Malaclemys terrapin pileata, 1232 nucleotides long. RefSeq lists it as uncharacterized. The record is from RefSeq and is a predicted model, not a curated record. The transcript has 3 exons. NCBI's taxonomy places the organism in Eukaryota, Metazoa, Chordata, Testudines, Emydidae.